AUUGAACGCUGGCGGAAUGCUUUACACAUGCAAGUCGAGCGGCAGCGCGGCCUUCGGGCUGGCGGCGAGCGGCGAACGGGUGAGUAAUGCAUCGGAACAUGCCCAGUCGUGGGGGAUAACACUUCGAAAGAAGUGCUAAUACCGCAUACGUCCUGAGGGGGAAAGCGGGGGAUCUCAAGACCUCGCGCGAUUGGAGUGGCCGAUGUCAGAUUAGCUAGUUGGUGGGGUAAAGGCCUACCAAGGCGACGAUCUGUAGCUGGUCUGAGAGGAUGAUCAGCCACACUGGGACUGAGAAACGGCCCAGACUCCUACGGGAGGCAGCAGUGGGGAAUGUUGGACAAAGGGGGCAAACCUGAUCCAGCCAUUCCGCGUGAGUGAAGAAGGCCUUCGGGUUGUAAAGCUCUUUCGGCAGGAACGAAACGGUGGGCUCUAACAUAGUCCGCUAAUGACGGUACCUGAAGAAGAAGCACCGGCUAACUACGUG
This 484-nucleotide ribosomal RNA is filed under the name uncultured bacterium. RNAcentral's name for it is "partial 16S ribosomal RNA". It matches the Rfam family "Bacterial small subunit ribosomal RNA", at positions 29 to 507 of the family's 1533-position model. The record is from RNAcentral.